UACGGAGGUUCCAAGCGUUGUUCGGAAUUACUGGGCGUAAAGGGAGCGCAGGCGGGCAAGUCAGUCUGAAGUGAAAUCCCGGGGCUCAACCUCGGACUUGCUUCGGAUACUGCUUGUCUUGAGUUCGUGAUAGGAAGACGGAAUUCAGGGUGUAGCGGUGAAAUGCACAGAUAUCCUGAGGAACACCGGUGGCGAAAGCGGUCUUCUGGCGCGAAACUGACGCUGAGGCUCGAAAGCGUGGGUAGCAAACGGGAUUAGAUACCCUGGUAGU
This 271-nucleotide ribosomal RNA is filed under the name uncultured prokaryote. RNAcentral's name for it is "partial 16S ribosomal RNA". It matches the Rfam family "Bacterial small subunit ribosomal RNA", at positions 524 to 794 of the family's 1533-position model. The record is from RNAcentral.